UUGGUUAGAACUCAACACAGGUUGGCGCCGUAACGACGCCGACACCUAGGCUCGCCACGCCGGCAGCGAGCCCACCAACGGCAGAAAAACUCUGCCCGGCCUCAGACGAGGCCGAAGGAUAUCAAGACAGUCAAC
Regulatory RNA element from Pseudomonas fluorescens, 135 nucleotides. It matches the Rfam family "rmf RNA". Lineage: Bacteria; Pseudomonadati; Pseudomonadota; Gammaproteobacteria; Pseudomonadales; Pseudomonadaceae. The record is from Rfam.